RNAcentral lists this microRNA precursor (74 nucleotides) under Myotis brandtii (Brandt's bat). RNAcentral's name for it is "mir-9193 microRNA precursor family". It matches the Rfam family "mir-9193 microRNA precursor family". Lineage: Eukaryota; Metazoa; Chordata; Mammalia; Chiroptera; Vespertilionidae. The record is from Rfam by way of RNAcentral.
CAGGGAGGGGGGGUGUCCCUCAGCCCAGAUUGCGAGAGGGUGCAGGCAAGGCCAAGGGACCCCACUGGUGCACA